Molecule: ribosomal RNA, 1237 nt
Filed under: uncultured organism
Description: partial small subunit ribosomal RNA
Rfam family: Bacterial small subunit ribosomal RNA
Source: RNAcentral
GUAGUUGGUGAGGUAAAGGCUCACCAAGCCUACGAUCUCUAGCUGGUCUGAGAGGAUGACCAGCCACACUGGGACUGAGACACGGCCCAGACUCCUACGGGAGGCAGCAGUGGGGAAUAUUGCGCAAUGGGGGCAACCCUGACGCAGCCAUGCCGCGUGAAUGAAGAAGGCCUUCGGGUUGUAAAGCUCUUUCGCUCACGAGCAAGGCAUUUAAUUGAAUAGACUAGAGUGAUUGACGUUAACUACACAACAGCCACCUGCUAACUCCGUGCCACCAGCCGCGGAAAUACGCAGGGUGCGAGCGUAAAUCUUGAAUAACUGGGCGUAGAGGGCACGCAGGCGGUGACUGACGUGAGGUGCUGCAAGCCCCGGGCUUAACCUGCGAAUUGCAUUUCAUACUGUGACGCUAGAGUACUAUACGGAAGCUCAUAAUUCCACGUGUAGCUGCGAAAAGCUCAGAGAUAUGAACGAAUACCGAAGGCGAACGCUGCCCCUUGACAAUGUACUGACGAUCAUGUGCGAAAGCGUGAGCAGCAAUCAGGAUUAGAUUCGUUGGUAGUCCACGCUGUAAACGAUACCGAUUUGGGGGCUUGAACUGUGUGUGUGGCGUAGGUAGCUAACGUGAUAAAUCGACCGCGGGUGAGUACGGCCGCAAGGUUAUAAAUCAAAUGAAUUGACGGGCCGCCCGCACAAGCGGGCGAUGCAUGUGAUUUAAUUGGAUGCAGCGGGAAGAUCCUUAGGUACUCUAGACAUCCAGAGAACUUUCCAGAUGAUGGAUCGGUUCGUUGGUGAAGUGUGAGACAGGUAUUGCAUUGCUGUGGUCAGCUCGUGUUGUGAAAUGUUGGGUUAAGUCCCGCAACGAGCGCAUCCCUUAUCUUUUGAUCCCAGGGAUUUGGUGGGUAAUUCAAAGGAGACGGCCGGUGAUAAGCGGGAGGAAGGUGGGGAUGACGUUCAAGUCAUCAUGGACCUUACGAGUAGGGCUCCACACGCAAUGCAAUGGAGUAUGCAGAGGGAAGCGAGAGUGCGAGGUGGAUCGAAUCUCACAAAUUUCGUUUAAGUCCGGAUUGGAGUAUUCAACUCGACUCCAUGAAGUUGGAAUGUAUAGUAAUAUCAAAUCAGAAUGGUGGGGUGAAUUCUUUGCCGGGCUUCGCACACACCGCCCGUCCCACCAUGGGAGUGGCUUGUACCAGACGUAGAUAGCUUAACCUUCGGGAGGGCGUUUUCCAAGGUAUGAUUC